This 1257-nucleotide long non-coding RNA is filed under the name Bemisia tabaci. RNAcentral describes it as "lncRNA ENSSSA1UGG005469". The record is from RNAcentral. Lineage: Eukaryota; Metazoa; Arthropoda; Insecta; Hemiptera; Aleyrodidae.
AUGUACGGAGCAGGGAGACGCAAACGAUCGCGCCCUAGCCCACCGUCCGUGGCUGACCACCCUGGAUCUCCGCAACCCGCACAGCACAGACCAUCGAGGGACCAGACGCCGCGCCCUAGUCCGCCGCCCAUGGCUCAGCGCCCGGCUACGCCGCAACCCGCACCGCAGCCCGCCUCUCCACGAAUACAAUUUCUUAAUGGUAAUAGCUCCUCGAAUUUAGAUAUAAGCGCCGACGAAACCUUUAAUUUUAGAGUGUUAGGUGAAGAAGCUAGGGGUUUGCCUAAUAUGGAAGCAGGCCUUUUAUGCAUGAAUCUGAUUCUCAAUGAGCCUCCAACAGAACCUUCGUCAGGCCCUGAAACUUGCAGUCCAUGGUUGCACCACACUUUAGCACAACUCAUCCAGUAUUGUCUUGUGAGAGGGAAUGUCCGCCCUCAAGACAGAGUACAGCUUGAAAUUUUUAGUUUCAAUGCAGGGAACAAGCCACUUUUCAUAACACCCAGACGUGGUGAUCAACUAACACCAGAGGUAGUGUUUCAACGUCUGGAAAAAAUUCUAAAUUCUAAUGAAGAAUUCUUGCUUGAUGGCCCAUUGAGAAUCAGAUUUUGCAUCAAAAGAUGCCUAGUAGGUUAUGGUAGGAUAACUGUGGGUGUUAAUCUGACAAUGAGUCAUAACAAAUAUGUGACCACAAAAGCAGGUAUCAUCAACAUCCCGAAUGAUGAUGGGCUCUGUUUAGCCCGUGCGAUUGUUGUGGGCAGAGCUCACGCUCAUAGAUUAGACACCCCUGAGGCAAUGACUGAAUACAAAUGGCUCAUUAGGAAAAAUUGUGAUGGGCAGGAACGAGCAGCUUUACAGUUGUGUGACAUUGUGGGGGUAAAUUUGACAUUUGGAGGAGGACUGGAUGAAGUGAGAAACUUCCAAGACGCAUUGCCAGGUUAUACACUUACUGUAUUUUCUGUAGUAGUAGUAAUAUUAAGUUUCUUUCGUUUUUUUCUUGUCUUAAAGAGUUAUUUAAUAGAUGAUUUUAAAAACUUAACUUCCUUUUGUUUGAUUCUUUCAUCUCACCCCUCUUCUUUUUUUGUUCUUACAGUUGUUUUUUUUUUUUUUUUUUUUUUUUUUUUUAUUUUUAUGAUUUUUGUGAACGCUUUGUUUUAUUCAUCAUUUGGGUGGUGCGUUUUUGCGUCUUUAGGUUUUGAUCCAGCCUCGAUUAUUUCAAGUCGCUCUUCUAUCCGCCGAGCCAGGCAGAAUUUUUUAUCUUGA